Molecule: long non-coding RNA, 521 nt
Organism: Pelodiscus sinensis (Chinese soft-shelled turtle)
Lineage: Eukaryota; Metazoa; Chordata; Testudines; Trionychidae
Source: RefSeq, a predicted model, not a curated record
UAUAUAAGAGCAUGGGCGGCUGUUCCCAGGGAAGGCCAGUAAGAGCCUGGCUGUUGGGGAAGCAGGAGGCUCCCUGCAGUUAGGGCUAGGCUAGGGGAGCUCUAGCCAAACAAGCCCCCAGAUUGCAGGGCCUGCAUAAUGGCCUGGUGGAGAAACAACAACCCCUGGAAGGGGGGCUCAGAGACUGACUUGGGCACUGCCGGAGGGCAGUGUGGUGAAGAGGAUGAUGUGGCCUGGAGGAAGGAGGGGAAACCCCACCAGCUGAAGGAGCUGAUUCUGGAGACAGAUGGCAGACCCCUGCUACAGUGUGAUUACAGGAACUCCCUGCAUUGGAACAGUAAUGAAGCUGCUGGGUGAUUCUUAUAUUUCACAAUGCUACCUAGUGGACUCACUGCUCUUGUUCCAAGGGCGGGAAGCUGGGGAAGACAGAGGAAUGCAUGCCUGGGUGUGUGAAUAAACUUAAACAUCUGGAGAAUGAAAUUACCUUAGCUGGAAUCUGGUUUCAACACUGCAAAUAAACC